RNAcentral lists this ribosomal RNA (253 nucleotides) under uncultured bacterium. Its description in RNAcentral is "partial 16S ribosomal RNA". It matches the Rfam family "Bacterial small subunit ribosomal RNA", at positions 524 to 776 of the family's 1533-position model. The record is from RNAcentral.
UACGAAGGGGGCUAGCGUUGCUCGGAAUCACUGGGCGUAAAGGGUGCGUAGGCGGGUCUUUAAGUCAGGGGUGAAAUCCCGGGGCUCAACCUCGGAACUGCCUUUGAUACUGCAAAUCUCGAGUCCGAUAGAGGUGGGUGGAAUUCCUAGUGUAGAGGUGAAAUUCGUAGAUAUUAGGAAGAACACCGGUGGCGAAGGCGGGUCUCUGGGCAACAACUGACGCUGAGGAGCGAAAGCGUGGGGAGCGAACAGG